This 809-nucleotide ribosomal RNA is filed under the name Tolypocladium sp. RG-2013a. RNAcentral describes it as "eukaryotic LSU rRNA". It matches the Rfam family "Eukaryotic large subunit ribosomal RNA", at positions 79 to 919 of the family's 3401-position model. Lineage: Eukaryota; Fungi; Ascomycota; Sordariomycetes; Hypocreales; Ophiocordycipitaceae. The record is from RNAcentral.
CCCAGUAACGGCGAGUGAAGCGGCAACAGCUCAAAUUUGAAAUCUGGCCCCCAGGGCCCGAGUUGUAAUUUGCAGAGGAUGCUUUUGGCGCGGUGCCUUCCGAGUUCCCUGGAACGGGACGCCAUAGAGGGUGAGAGCCCCGUCUGGUCGGACACCAAGCCAGUGUAAAGCUCCUUCGACGAGUCGAGUAGUUUGGGAAUGCUGCUCUAAAUGGGAGGUAUAUGUCUUCUAAAGCUAAAUACCGGCCAGAGACCGAUAGCGCACAAGUAGAGUGAUCGAAAGAUGAAAAGCACUUUGAAAAGAGGGUUAAACAGUACGUGAAAUUGUUGAAAGGGAAGCGUUUGUGACCAGACUUGGGCCCGGUGAAUCAUCCAGCGUUCUCGCUGGUGCACUUCGCCGGGCCCAGGCCAGCAUCAGUUCGCCGCGGGGGAUAAAAGCUUCGGGAACGUGGCUCCCUCGGGAGUGUUAUAGCCCGUUGCAUAAUACCCUGCGGCGGACUGAGGUUCGCGCUCCGCAAGGAUGCUGGCGUAAUGGUCAUCAGCGACCCGUCUUGAAACACGGACCAAGGAGUCGUCUUCGUAUGCGAGUGUUCGGGUGUCAAACCCCUACGCGUAAUGAAAGUGAACGCAGGUGAGAGCUUCGGCGCAUCAUCGACCGAUCCUGAUGUUCUCGGAUGGAUUUGAGUAAGAGCAUACGGGGCCGGACCCGAAAGAAGGUGAACUAUGCCUGUAUAGGGUGAAGCCAGAGGAAACUCUGGUGGAGGCUCGCAGCGGUUCUGACGUGCAAAUCGAUCGUCAAAUAUGGGCAUG